AGAGAGAGACAUGCGCGCAUAUCAAUAAGCGGAGGAAAAGAAACUAACAAGGAUUCCCCUAGUAACGGCGAGUGAAGCGGGAAGAGCUCAAAUUUGAAAUCUUAAAGGGUUUCCCUUUACGAAUUGUAGUUUAAAGAAGUGUUUUCUGUUGAGGUUUUGGUAAAAGUUCUUUGGAAUAGGACAUCAUAGAGGGUGAGAAUCCCGUAUUUGACCUUUACUUUCAACUUUGUGAUACACUUUCAAAGAGUCGGAUUGUUUGGGAAUGCAGUCCAAAAUGGGUGGUAAAUUUCAUCUAAAGCUAAAUAUUGGCGAGAGACCGAUAGCGAACAAGUACCGUGAGGGAAAGAUGAAAAGAACUUUGAAAAGAGAGUUAAACAGUACGUGAAAUUGUCAAAAGGGAAGCGUUUGACACCAGUGUUGUUUUUCUGAAAAUCAAUUAAAGAACUGUUUAUGCUAAGUUGUUUAGACUUUAUCAGCUACUGUUUAGUUUUGAGCUUUUCUUUAAUGCACUUUUCAGUUAACAAGUCAACAUCAAUUUCUUUUGCUGUAAAAAAGCUUGAGGAAGGUGGCUUGAGAUUCGUCUUAAGUGUUUAUAGCCUCUUGCCUAUGCAGUCGGAGAGAUUGAGGUCUGCAGCGUAGAUCCUUCGGGGCUAAAUGCAUUUGUGCUAAGUUAUAACAUUUUAUAGACAACUUGUUGACUAUGAUUUGUCUUGUAGCAUACUCGCUUAUGUUAUUUUACCUACGCUUAGGAUGUUGACGCAUGAGAUAUACGCC
RNAcentral lists this ribosomal RNA (774 nucleotides) under uncultured Neocallimastigales. RNAcentral's name for it is "partial large subunit ribosomal RNA". It matches the Rfam family "Eukaryotic large subunit ribosomal RNA", at positions 23 to 648 of the family's 3401-position model. The record is from RNAcentral. Lineage: Eukaryota; Fungi; Neocallimastigomycota; Neocallimastigomycetes; Neocallimastigales.